This 482-nucleotide ribosomal RNA is filed under the name uncultured bacterium. Its description in RNAcentral is "bacterial SSU rRNA". It matches the Rfam family "Bacterial small subunit ribosomal RNA", at positions 30 to 507 of the family's 1533-position model. The record is from RNAcentral.
AUUGAACGCUGGCGGCAUGCCUUACACAUGCAAGUCGAACGGUAACGGGCCUUCGGGUGCCGACGAGUGGCGAACGGGUGAGUAAUGUAUCGGAACGUACCUUUCAGUGGGGGAUAACGUAGCGAAAGUUACGCUAAUACCGCAUAUUCUGUGAGCAGGAAAGCAGGGGAUCGCAAGACCUUGCGCUGAUUGAGCGGCCGAUAUCAGACUAGCUAGUUGGUGAGGUAAAGGCUCACCAAGGCGACGAUCUGUAGCGGGUCUGAGAGGAUGAUCCGCCACACUGGAACUGAGACACGGUCCAGACUCCUACGGGAGGCAGCAGUGGGGAAUUUUGGACAAUGGGGGCAACCCUGAUCCAGCCAUGCCGCGUGAGUGAAGAAGGCCUUCGGGUUGUAAAGCUCUUUCGGCCGGGAAGAAAUCGCAUGGGUUAAUACCCUGUGUGGAUGACGGUACCGGAAUAAGAAGCACCGGCUAACUACGUG